GAACAAGUGCAGCAGCCUUCAGCAGACAUGCAUGCUGGACAGCUGGGACUGCUGACCAACCAGAUGUAGUAAGGUGAAAUUCCACUGCAAAGUGUAUGGCAACUUAGUAUGUGGAGGUGAACAACAGCAAGUAUCUCUUACCAUCCGGCCCAGGCAGCAGCCAGCACUGCCUGGGCCGCGGCCGCCGGCCUCAUGAGCCUGGCAUUCCUGUCACCCAUUCUCCCCAUAGCUUGCCUCCUCCUUCUCACAGUCCGGCGCCCCGCUCCUCGAGACGCAGGACCACCUCAGAUCUCCAGUCCUGCACCUGCCGGCUGAGCAAAUGAGGAGACGGGGAGAAAAGCUGUCUGUCGUUCCUGAAGGAACAGGACCUCCGCACUCCAAGAAAGAAUCGGGCGCCCAGUGGGGGCUGCAGGAGCAGAGGACGGUGGCGGCAGUAGCAGC
Long non-coding RNA from Gorilla gorilla gorilla (western lowland gorilla), 441 nucleotides. RefSeq lists it as uncharacterized. Lineage: Eukaryota; Metazoa; Chordata; Mammalia; Primates; Hominidae. The record is from RefSeq and is a predicted model, not a curated record. The transcript has 3 exons.